ACAAUGGAGAGUUUGAUCCUGGCUCAGGAUGAACGCUAGCGGCAGGCUUAAUACAUGCAAGUCGUGGGGCAGCAUGAGUAGCAAUACUUGAUGGCGACCGGCAAACGGGUGCGGAACACGUACACAACCUUCCGAUAAGUGGGGAAUAGCCCAGAGAAAUUUGGAUUAAUACCCCGUAACAUAUAAUAUAGGCAUCUAUAUUAUAUUAUAGCUUCGGCGCUUAUUGAUGGGUGUGCGUCUGAUUAGGUAGUUGGCGGGGUAACGGCCCACCAAGCCUACGAUCAGUAGCUGAUGUGAGAGCAUGAUCAGCCACACGGGCACUGAGACACGGGCCCGACUCCUACGGGAGGCAGCAGUAAGGAAUAUUGGACAAUGGGCGAAAGCCUGAUCCAGCCAUGCCGCGUGAAGGAUUAAGGUCCUCUGGAUUGUAAACUUCUUUUAUUUGGGACGAAAAAAGGGAAUUCUUUCCCACUUGACGGUACCAAGUGAAUAAGCACCGGCUAACUCCGUGCCAGCAGCCGCGGUAAUACGGAGGGUGCAAGCGUUAUCCGGAUUCACUGGGUUUAAAGGGUGCGUAGGCGGGUAUGUAAGUCAGUGGUGAAAUCUCGGAGCUUAACUCCGAAACUGCCAUUGAUACUAUAUAUCUUGAAUAUUGUGGAGGUUUGCGGAAUAUGUCAUGUAGCGGUGAAAUGCUUAGAUAUGACAUAGAACACCUAUUGCGAAGGCAGCAGGCUACACAUAUAUUGACGCUGAGGCACGAAAGCGUGGGGA
RNAcentral lists this ribosomal RNA (771 nucleotides) under Bacteroidota bacterium. Its description in RNAcentral is "bacterial SSU rRNA". It matches the Rfam family "Bacterial small subunit ribosomal RNA", at positions 1 to 767 of the family's 1533-position model. The record is from RNAcentral. Lineage: Bacteria; Pseudomonadati; Bacteroidota.